Vicia villosa (hairy vetch) is the source of this 1180-nucleotide long non-coding RNA. RefSeq lists it as uncharacterized. NCBI's taxonomy places the organism in Eukaryota, Viridiplantae, Streptophyta, Magnoliopsida, Fabales, Fabaceae. The record is from RefSeq and is a predicted model, not a curated record. The transcript is spliced from 2 exons.
UGGUCCAGUGGUGAUUGGCGCUGGACUUGGUAGGGAGAACCACGGUUCGAUCCCCCGCAACUGCGAUCGGGAGGGGGAUGGAACCACUUGAUGCCAGAACUCGCCCCCAAACCGGACUAAACCGGUGCUAUAAAGAAAAAAAAGAAAAAGUCACACUUCGCUUGCUUAAAAUACAAAAUCAGAAAUUCACAAGUUUCAAUCUCAGCCCUCUAUUCAAAUUAAUCAAUGGUCUAAAAUACUCAAGAGCCUUUCACUUGGAUCACCAAAGUUCCUCACACGGUUUGCACAAUUUCACUCUCAACUUUUACAAAUUUUCCCUCUCUUUUGCUCACACAAUCCUCACCUCUCAUGCCUAUAAAAACAAGCUCAGAUCACAGAAGAAAGGAGAGGAAGAAAAGCGUGAAAACUCUGCUAAAAUUGAUUUCAGUCUUCCUCCAAAAUUCAACAACCCUGCUCAUCCUUCAUCCAUCACCAUAACCUGCUCAUCCUUCAUCUUUUUCAUACAUACAAACAAUCCUCCAAAACUGUCAAAACCGAUUCACUAUAACUCACUUGAUUUAACUUCAUAAACCAUCUAUCUGCAACCUUCAUUUUCAUCAUCACCUGCAACAACAACACGACUCCAGCAACCACGCUGAACAUCGCCGCAAUUUAACUCUGUGUCUUUAAUGCACAAAAUCAUCACCAUCGGAAAAACGAAUAUGCAAUUUCUCCGACGAACCUCACACUAUCGCAACGACAUACCUGCAAACAACAACGCACGGAAAUUAACAGAAGCACCAUUCUAAAUCAGCAACACGGUGCACAAUCAACCUGAAGGCAGAGCUCCGAUUUAUUUUCGAAGAAGAAGGAGCGGAGCACGUUUGUUACCUCUGGUUUUCUUGGUUGUCGGUGUCGGUGUUAAGAUUCUCGGACUAGCUCUAAGCUUGUUCUGGAGUUUAGUAGCUCGUGCGUGAUCUAGCCGGAGUUUUCUUUCCGUGUUUGUUGGAGAUUAGGUAGUGAGUCGAUGCUCUGGUCAUGUAACACUUGGUAGACUAGUCGUGUUGAACUCAUGUUUCUAUUUGGUUAUGUAUUAUGUUAUGACUCGAGAACCUGUUUAUUUGGCUACUUGUUAUUGAGAGGCUUUUAAGCCAAAUAUUCUGAUUAUGGUUUAAUUUAUGUUAAGAUGAUUAUUGAGAUA